CCUGUCCGCGGGCGCGGAGGAGGGUAAUUGCUGGCCAGGGACUAAGAACAAUGGAAUGGAGGGUUCAGGCUAGCUUGCCUCCGCCCUCUGCUUGCUGAGGGCGGUCUGGCUUUCUUUGGGGCGGCUCCACCCUCGGACCUCUGCGCCCUACGAGGUGAAGUCAUCUCCCGGGGGUCCGGGAGUGGCCGCGGCCCUCGCGGAGUUCCCGGAUCUAGGCGCCGAGAUGUCCUUGUAUCUUUUCUGGGGACCAGGAAGAGGUUCUCGGGGAGAGUAGGGGAGAAGGAGGCCGCCAUCUUGCUUCUUGGGGGUAGCCCCUUCUCCCCAGGCUUAUUAGGGUAGAGGCUGCUGUGUUCUGUGGCCGGCAUUUUCCAGAGUGAAUCCAGGGACUUUCCUUGUCGCAGGCCGACUUCUAGGAGGUGGGUUAGUCAUCUCGGUGGCUGCCAUGGGCCUCAUAUUUAACUGCUGACCUCUAGAAAACUGACCUCCGCAAAGGGUCUGUGAUUCCUUUCAAACUGGGCUUGGGUCCUCUUCGACACUUUAAGUGUGGUGUCAGUAGUCUGUGAGAUACUCCUGUGGCUUCACGACAGCAACUUAGUAUCUUAAGUUAGAAGUUUCACCAAAUCGGUUGAAAUUUACGUUCUUCCACAGGUUCGAAAUAGAUCUUUAGCCCAACAGAUCUGUUGACUUUAUUUGUUCUCUUAUCCCUUCUCUUCCCCCUCCAAAUUUAGUAAUAACUACAUGCUUGGCAUUUACCCAUUCAAGGACUGCCUAGUUAAGUGGGCAUGACAGACAUGAAAGCAAAUAAUGAUGUUUGGAACUGUGGUAUAUCAAGGUAUAUAGAGGAGAGAACCUACUAACUCUAACUUAAGCUUUUAAAUAGGCUGUUUUCCAGCAUAAAUAGAGGAGAUGGCAAAUCUUAAUAAAAGACAUGCAGCACAGGGUCAAAUAAUUUAGGAGGCUGAGUGACAAGUCCCGAUGUUCAAGCCUGGGUCGCUGAAAAAGAAGCAGACAAGCCAAAUCAUGAAUCUUUUUUUUUUUUUUUUUUUUUUAAAUAUAUCCUUGUGACACAAUGGGGGAGGAAUGACCCUGGAAAGAUUUACAAUUUAAGUUAUUGUUUUAUUGGUGUAGGGUAAACAGAGAGUCUCUAGACCAGAAAAGAAAGAAUAGGGAUCCUGUGACUGGUGAUCAACAUCCAAAGGAGAUGGAGUCCUAAAAUAUGUAGGAGAUCAUAUCAGUUGAUUGCUGUGAGCAGCUAGAGGUUGAGAAUGGAAGUGGCAAGGAAAAUAACCUUGUUUUGCUCUCAUGGAAGGGCAGGAUAAUGGUGUAUUUCACCAAAUGAGAUAAGGAUGAGUUGCAGGGACACUUUUCUUUUUUUGCAUAAAAUGAAAAAUGAGUUCAGUUUUGGACUUUGUGAGUUUGAAGUAAGACUGGGGUUUUCUAGUGGUGGUUACUAUAUGGGUCUAGAGCUCUGGGGAGGAUGUUGGUUGAAGCUAGAAACACAACAGGCUUAUAUUACCACAUUCAAGCAGACUGCAGUCUCACUUCAUUGAGCACAGUUUCAAAACCAUUCCCCCCUUCCCUGUCUUGUCUUGGGAAAUUUUAUGAAAUACUCUAUUUAAAAAAAAAAAAAAAUCCCCAUGUGGUGAUACAUGUCCAUCUAAUGCUUAGACCAUUAAUCUGUGCUUAAUGGCCUAAGAACCAUAAAAGGUCAGGUGUACCAGAAACUGAAUAUGACAGUGCUAACUAGUAUAGCAUCAUAAACUCAUAAGGUGAGAUAUUGUCUAUGUUGAUGUUUUAAUAAAAACAUUUUAAAUCUACUGGGCACAAUGCUACUGGUCUGUAAUCCCAGUUGUUUGGGAGGCUGGGGAAGGAGGAUUGUAAAUUUGAAGCCAUCUUGGGCAACUUAGCAAGACCCCAUCUAAAAAUAAAAUAAAAAGGGCUGGGGAUAUAGCUCAAUGGUAGAGUGUUUAUGCAGGGCCCCUACAUUCAUCUCAAGUAUUUAAAUAAAUAAAUAAAUUUUAAAUAGUUGACAAUAGCUUAAACUAGCCUGCAGACCAAGGGUUGAGGAUGAUGGCUGCACCAAUAUCUGCUGAAGGAAGAACUAGAAGGAGGAUGACUUCAAGAGUGAGCAGUAGGAACACUAUGAAAGACAACCUCGAAUUUAUUAGUCUGUCUCAGCUGCUUCUUGGUUGUUCAUAGCUAUGCUAACCUAGCAUAAUGCAGUCAGAAAUAGAAUAGUUCAUUUUGAGUAGAGGCUUCAGAAAGCUACAAGUAACAAAGGCACUAUAAAUAAUAGCUAUAGCAGCAAACCAAAGACUAUUAGUUUUGAAUUCUAUAUUCCUGUAAAGCAGUAUUUUCCAACAUACCAAGUAAGAAAUCCAUUCAGUUACUUUUAGUUCUUAGAUUAUUUAAAUACAUUAUUCUCAAUUUUCCUAAAAGAAAAAUACAAUUAGGUAUAUUAAACAACUGUAUAGGGCUGGGGUUGUGGCUCAGUCAUAGAGUGCUUGUUUCACAUGUGUGAGACACUGGGUUUGAUUCUCAGCACCACAUAUAAAUUAAUGAAUAAAAUAAAGGUCCUCAACAACUAAAAAUAUAUAUUUAAAAAAACAACUAUAUAAUGGAUAAUAUACUGAACUAAAAAUGAGAACAAUUAAUUGAAUCCUUUUUUAUUAGUUGUUCACCUUAUGACCCUAACUAAAGCAUUUAACCUUUCUAUGCCCUAGUUUCUCUGACUACAAAAUAAAGAUAAUAACAACUUUCUACCAAUCUGCCUCUCAGAGAUAUAAGAAGUAACAAUGCUAUAAGAGUUCUUUGAGGUACUUAGAUGAAAGCAGAAGUAUAACUACAUGUUAACAAUUGGCACAAAUAACAAUAGAACUCAUGAACAUUUCUAAAUUUGCUGCCUAGGCAACUCCAAAGAACAUGAUAAAUCCGGAUUUAUAAUAGGCUUAGAAUUCUUGACUUGUGAAUUUACUUAUUAUUAUUUAUGAUCAAACCUUAGUAACACAUAUAUUUGCCAAAGCAAAAAACAGGAAUUUUUACUAACCACAGUUACUGUGUUCACUGCUACUCACAGCUAAUAUAUGCCUUGGGAAAAAACAUGGUAUGUAUGGUGGUUUUGUCAGAAUCAGGUUUCAGAGUUAAUGAUUAGUCUGUAACAUUACUCAUGCUUCUAUAGAAUAAAAUUGAAAUGCAGGUAUAUGUUUAUUUGAAACAUUGAGAUGAAUGUUCCUGUGAGCCUUUCAUCAUUUGCAUCACUGGCUGAUGAGAAAUACAUAGUGAAAUAUAUAGUCCUGUGUGAUGUUGUCCAGUGUCCAUCCUGAAAGUAGAUGACAUUUUCUUUUUCUUUUUCAGUAGAUUGGUGGCUUCAGGUUUUCUUUUUUGAAAGAUGUAUGUAUAUAUGUAUAUGUACAUAUACAUGUAUGUAUAUAUGUAUAUUUAUGUAUAUAAAUAUGUGUGCAUAUUUAUUUUUAUAUACAAGAUUACCAUAUGCCACUUCAUAAAAAUAUUAUAUGAAAGUACAUUACCUGUAAAUCUAGUAACAAUAACAAUAGCCUCAUAGAUCUAUUUCGGGCCAGAUAAGGUCCCCCAAAGUUGUUGGUUAAUAGUAAUUUGUCACCACUGAUGAAAAAAGUUAUAGUACAUGUUCAGUUAUUAGAAUUUUGAACACUAUCUGUAAGACCCAUGCUGCCUCAACUUUGUGUUAUUUAAUUUUGUUUUCACAACCGUUCCAUACUUUCACUCAUCUGUUAUUACCUCUUUACUAUUUUGUACUUUUUACCAUGGUCUUCAGAUAACAGUUCUACCAAAACAUACUUAUAAUAUGUGCAUUUCUGGCUAAUUAUUGUUGAUUACUUGUAUAAUCUCUAAAAUUCAGUCAAACAAUAUUUUGUAAUCUUAAAGUACAAUUCUUAUGUUUAAGGCUGUGGUUACCAGCCUUUGUUUUAUUUGUCUUUGUAUGUCUCAUGGUAUGAGACUGCGUACUCCAAAAAUAUUUUUAGGAAUGAAUAAAAAUUAUAUUGUGAUAUUUAGCUGAAUAAAAAAAUAAUAAAGCUAUAAAUCAUCUUAGACACUUUUAGGGGCAUGUAGGAGGAUAUGUGUAUGAAUUUUAUACACAUUCAUGUUUUGUUUUAUACUUUAAGUUGGUGGGACAAUUGAGAAAUGAAGGAAGGAGAAUUAAUUUUCUAUUUAUUGAAUAUUUACUGUAUUUCAGACACUGUACCAACCAUCUUACAAAAGAAUGAAUGACUAUUUAGGUCCCAUAAAUUUGGUUUGAAUCUUGAGAGUCACAGAAAAUAGUAUUAAUACUAAUAAGUAGGAUAUUUGAACAAAUCCUAUUACUUCUGUCUUUUUUAUACUUAUACUCUAUUUUAUUAUAAUAAUUGAAAAAUGUAAUCAAACAAUUUUUGAAAUAUACCUAUCUCUUCAUCCCUUAUUCUUUUUAUGUUACAAGGCUAUCAUUCAAUCUCUAUUUUGGAUCUUGACUCUUCUUGUCUAUUUGGGGUUCUUGCUACAUCAGUUAUUCUCUUUCUGCUGUCAGCUUCUCACUCUUCACUGGUUUCUUGCUAUUAGCAUUCUCUUAAGUUUAAUAAGAAUUUUAAAUGUUUAAAAUGUCUUCCUUAUGCAUAACCUCCCUCUAGCUUCUUUUCAAAUCCUCAUUCUUUGUUGUAAAAGAAACUUUCUGAGAGAAUUUUCUAUGCUUGCUAUUUCUACUUUAUCAAUUUUACUUUACUCUUAAACCUUUUAUAAUCAGGCUUUUACCCCAACACUGCUCUGAAACUAUACUUGGUAAAGUCACCAACAUCAUCCCUAUUGUAAGAUGCCUCUUAGUUCUUAAUGUCUUAACAGUAUUUGAAACUGCUUAUUGUUCUUUGCUUUUUUGAAACAAUCUCUUCUCUUGUUUUCUGUAAUACCAUACUUCACUGUUUAUUUUCUUUCACUGUCCUUUGAUGUUUCUGGUAAGCUUGAAACUCUCAUAUUGGAUUCCCUAUCUAAAAUUUCUUUUGUGUUUUAUAGGUGCUAAGCUCAAACUCAAUAUGUCUAAUUGAACUGAUAAUACCCAAGUGCCCAAAGCCAGAGAGUCUGUUUUCUUUGAAUUGUUCCUUUAUUCUGCAAUAUCCACUCAAUUAUCAUGCACUAUUAAAUUUUCCUCCUUAUUAUAGCUUAAAAUCAUCUAUCCCAUUCUAUUUCUACUGCCACUUCCUUAAUCCAAGCUGCUAUUACCUCCUUACUGUUAUUAAUAUAGAUUAGAUUCAAUGGGUUCAGUCUUUUCCUGCUCUAAAACCAACCUUAGUAGUACAACCAUUGUGGUUCAGAACACGGAUACUAUCAUUUAACUCCUCCACUUGUGUUCCUUUAAUACUUACAUUAAUCUCAGGAAAGCCUGGAAUUGUUUGUCCUCCUUUAUUCACCAGGGAGAGAAGAACUUCAUCUGUUUUGUGUACUGUUAUUCUCCUUAUAUUGAUUCAGUAUUGAUUAUUGGAUGAAUGAGCCUUGGGAAAAUAUUAUAAAGAAAAAUUCCCUCUCUCUUAAUUAAAAGUGCUGGGGAUUGAACCUAGGGCUUGAACAUGACAGCUAGAUGGUCUAUCAUUUAGCCACCCCCAACCCCUGAAUGUUAAACGUUUUUAGAGUAAAGAAGAUGGUCCUGCCACCUCAACACUGCUACAGUAGGGACUAAGCCUCCAACACAUGAACAAUUGGGGGACAAAUCACAUCCAAACCCGAGUCACUGGGAAUACAGG
This is a long non-coding RNA of Marmota monax (woodchuck), 5741 nucleotides long. RefSeq lists it as uncharacterized. The transcript has 3 exons. The record is from RefSeq and is a predicted model, not a curated record. Lineage: Eukaryota; Metazoa; Chordata; Mammalia; Rodentia; Sciuridae.